Molecule: long non-coding RNA, 242 nt
Filed under: Malus domestica (apple)
Lineage: Eukaryota; Viridiplantae; Streptophyta; Magnoliopsida; Rosales; Rosaceae
Description: long non-coding RNA (MDOM_LNC003006)
Source: RNAcentral
AUAAAGGUAUAAAUAUGACUUUAUAGCCAAAAUUCAUUUAGGGUUUUCUUUUGGGGAAAAGAUGAGAACAUAAGCUCUCCUUUCUCUCUAAAGUGGUCGGCCUCCUUGGAGGGUUUAGCUAGCAAUCCUACUAUUCUAAGGUCACUCAUUUCUUCUCCAAUCUAACCUUGGUGAAGAAACUUAGAGGUUCUCAAUUUUGGGAACUUGGAGAACCAUUUCAUCCAUCCAAAUCCAUAGAUCUA